AGAGAAUGUCCGUUUCUCGGAGCGCAGCACAGCCUGUCCCAUCGAGAAGCCUCGGCUUCCCAGAGACCGUGACAAAAGACAUCAUUCUACGCUGCACAAAAGCAGCCAGAGGCGGCCUCUCCCACGCUCCGGGAGCGAAGGGAAUGAUCUGGCUAGAGAGCAGCACUCCAGGGUGACUCCGUCCUGCUGUCUAACCGGCCUCCGGCAGAGUGGCAGAUCAUCUGACUCUCUGAACCACUCUGAACAUCAGUCUCUUCAUCUCUAAAUGAGGGUGCUGGCCGUGUGGAUCCGCAGGGGUAUCCUGAGGUUUGCCACGUACAAAAAGCUUAGGACAGUAAAUACUAAUAGGCUGGUGCAAAAU
RNAcentral lists this long non-coding RNA (361 nucleotides) under Homo sapiens (human). Its description in RNAcentral is "non-protein coding LINC00354:13". The record is from RNAcentral. Lineage: Eukaryota; Metazoa; Chordata; Mammalia; Primates; Hominidae.